UUUCAUCCUUCGGGAUGCACAGCGGUUCCUCAAUAUGUCAGCUGCCUGCCCUGUUCCUGGGACAGGGAAGGGACAUCAUUCUUGCUCAUGAGGAUGCUUCCAUGCCACAUUCCUUAAACACGAGGGGCUGGGGAAAGGCUCUCAGGGAGCAAGUGGAGGGUGAGUUCCUGGGUGUCCGCAGAGCACAGGUGGCUGACUCGCCAAAGGGGGCUCUGGGAGGACAAAAAUGGGCUCUUCCAUCAGCACCUUAAGUGGUAGUAUAAUUUUUUUCCCUCUCUAGCUGCAGACAAGCUAAUUAUAGUUGGUGGCAGGGUGAAGAGCCCAGUGCUGGUCUAUUUUGGUCUGAGCCGAGGUCUAAUAGUGGAGCCAGUACCAUUCUUGAUUUUUCAUAGUACUUCAGCGUCUUGGCUGCAGUUAAAAAUAAGCCUGCUUGUACUUAGAAUCUGUUCCCUUCAUAUGGCUUUAAAUUGAGGAUCUGGUUGCAUAUUAAAGGUGAACUGCAGAUUUACAGGAGAAACGAAGUGAAGCGGGGAGGGUUAAGUGCUAAACAGUGACAGGGAGGGGCCAGGGAUUUAGCUCAAUGGUUCCACCACCUGCUGCACAAGUGCAAGGACCCGAGUUCGAUCCCCGGUACCAAAAACAAAACAAACAGUGACAGGGAGUCAUUGGGGAAUGGAAAAGCAAAUACCCUGAAAAUAAUCCACGUUCCAUGUUACAUUUUAAAACAUGAGCAGAUAAAAACUUCUUCACUCGCACCUAGUGGCUUCUGAAAUCAUUUCAUUUCUCUGCAUAUGUAGAUCUGUGUUAUUAAAAUUUGGGGCAUUUAUUUGCAUAAGUGUGCCUUAGAACAUCACUGUUUUGUAUUAAAGGAAAUAAGACCAGCUGGAGUUUGUGAAAGGUCUUCAUGCAAGAUUUAUUUAAAUAUUAGUGUUAUCGGGGGCCAGGGAUUUAGCUGAGUGACAUCACACCUGCCUUGCAAGCACAAGGUCCUGAGUUUGAUCCCCGAUACCAGAAAAAAAAACUAGUGUUAUCACAGUAGCACUUGUUAUUUAUUAGGCAAACAUUUAUUAGCACAUACUAUGUGCCAAGCACUUUAACGCAGCCUCAUCCUGGUGACAGCCCUAUGGCAUAGGGCUGCUGGGAUGGACCUCAGUCUACAGAUGGCUUGGUAGGCAGUGGUCAUGGGCCAGCGCCAGCCCUGGACAGAGCCUCUGCACCACGGCGGAGCCGGGCGACACUCGUGAUCUCAGGCUGAUGUGCAGAAAGAGCGGAUCCAGCAAAGCUAUUGCUGGUGCCCUGACCCAAGUGCUCCAGGACUCCAGCCCUGGUAGCCGGGGCAAGACCAUCACUGGGGAUGCUGGGUGCUCACGCAUCAUGUGCUCUCCCCUCCUAACCGCACCACGAUCUCCCAUGUAACCGGAGGAGGCCCCACCUCUUCAGCACCAGGCCCUGGGGAGGUGGGGUUCAAGAGGAAGGAGGUGUUCAGAGGCUGAAGUUGAAGACAGCGUCUUGAAGCUCUUUGCCCCUCCUCUCCAGAGUCCCUGGCUCUGUCAACCCUGGUCGGGGGCGGCACGGGCAGCUCACCCCGACCUCUCCAGGGCGGCACCAGCUGUGGCUUGGACUAGGCUCUCCCGGUACUCCAGGUCAGGUCCUGACAGAUCCCUUUCUACUGACAAGAAUGGAUUCCGUCACCAACUGUGGAUGUUCAGUUGGAUGUCCCUAAAACCCUGGAAACUGUUCUUCUAAGUAUUUCCUCUGGGAUCUUUUUAUUCUAUUAAUUUGCUUUGAAAGACCUACUUCUCCAGUAAUAAAAGGUAACUGCAGCCCAGCCCCUGCUUGAAUGAUCACAAAUCCCAAAUUAAUUGCUUAUUAAUGUUGCUUUAUCAGUGUCUUUUCAUGCACCAUAAGGUAAUGGACUCCGUUAGAUCUGGAGAGGGACAGAACAAGAAGAUGAGAAAGGAAACCUUACUUUUGUCACUUUCUUGCCUCCCGGGAAAACAUCAUUAUGUCUUUAAGCCUAGCGAUGUAAGUAACCUAGGCGUUCACUCUAAGGGCUUAGGGGUGCUCAGCAAAUCCCCCCCACCCCAGAAUGUCCUGUUCCCCUGUCCCAAAUAGCCAAGUUCUAAUUCUAGGAUUCCCGGGGUCCCUCAUUUCCUGAGUGAUCAUCCUAUCUCAGAAUCCUCUCUACAUUAUAUUGCUUAAGAAUAUGUCAGGUGUGGUGGUGUGCGCCUGCAAUCCCAGCGCCGGAGAGGCUGAGGCCAGAGAAGCACCGUGAGUUCAAGACCAGCCUGAACUACAAAGCAAGACCCUGUCUCAAAAAACAAAAAAAAGCAGCCUUCCUGGAAGCAUACAUCCUUUUUAGCAACACUCCUUGACUGCUGUUUUGCAUAUGAAAUAACGUUUUAAAAAUCCAGCCAAAAAGGAAAGUGAGAAAAAGCUAUCCACGCUAAGGAAAGAUCUUAACAGAGUACUGAAUCAGCUACCAGGUGGCCAAACUCCUGACUCCAGAAACCCACAGACUGAUCGUCAGCUAGGAAACAACACCUGGUGCCCCGGGUCCCUGUCACCACCUGCAGGACGUCGGAGCACCAUCCCCCAGAGGAAACUGCCCACUGAAGUCGCUCUGCCCUUUCCUGGCUUGCAUUUCUUCCCUCACAUCAGAAGUCUCCAGGGCCAGUGAUUUAGCUCAGUGGUUCCCCCACCUGCCUCGCAAGCCAGUGUUCGAUCUCCAGUACCAAAAAAAGAAGUCUCCAACCCAUGAGCAGCUCAGAGACUGAGAACUUGGUGAGGAAAUUCGGAAUCCUGGAGAGAAGAGAAUCAUUUGCUGAGCAGCACCGCCCCUUCCCAACACCAUAUGCGCACUCACACACCCUCCUGCCCAGGAAACUGCCCUGCAGGCCCCUGGCCCUGGGAGCCCCGCACGCACGGCUACGUCACCGCUGCCAUCCAGACACACCGGUCUGCCCCAUCUAGCGGCCACCAACAGGAGUGGCCCAACCUCAGUAACUAAAGCUGACUCUCUUGGAAAGAAUGUGCUGGUUCCUGCAACCCCGCUGGCCUGCAGCCUCCAGAACCAGGCCUGGUGGAGAAGCCGAGUUCUUGAGCGCUGAGCUCACCGGCCCGGCUAGGGGACUGCGGAGCCUCCUCGGCCCUGUGCGGGGAGGGCCUGGCAUGGGGGACAGGCGUGCCCUGGCCCCGGGGCACUUGCAAGCACCAUCAUUUGUGGGCCCCGGGACGGGGCCACUGCCCCUCUGGACAGUCUCCUGGAGGCAGAGACAUCAUGCAUUGGCCAGUUAUCCAGCAGGAGCUGAUCGGCCGUGGGCCACCCAGGUUGGAGGGACGUCCCAGAGCCUCUCCCCUCCCAGCCACCACGCAGAGGGAUCAGAGACGGACCACAGUGCCCUGGGGGGUGGCCCCAGCUUGCUGCUGUCUCGGUCACGGCCGCUCAAAGGCCACCCUGCCCUCACCCGCAUGCAGCCCCAUAGGUGGACAGACUGGGAAGGCAGGAGAGGGUGCCGCUUAGCCUGUGGGGCUCCUGGCCUGGCGCUGCCCCCUGCUGGCUGUGUGUCCUUGGCAAAAUUAUUAAGCUGUUUCCUUUCUCUGGCUGAUCAAAGAUGACAGCGAAUGCUUACACAUUUUUUUAAAUUACAGUCAAAAAUAUGCAUCCCUCUCAGAAUCCUCCCCUUCACUUCAGACACACUUAUCCCAUCGUUCUUGCCACUCUCCGCGGCAGCUCUGGAGUCCCCUUUCCUGAGUCUUUAGUGGCGUGUGGAUGCAGGACAUUGAACUUUCGUGAUCCUUGUGACUUUGGGGAAGAGAUGGAAGUCAAAUGGUGCCAGAUCCGGUGAAUACGGUGGAUGAGGACGCAGCGUCAUGUUAUUUGACAGAAACUGCUGUAAACGUUUGAACAAAGAACAGUGAUCAAGAAAUAGUGGGAGGGCCGGGGAUUUAGCUCAGUGGUUCCAGCGCCUGCUGCGCAAGUUCAAUCCCCGGUACCAAAAAAAAAAAAAAAA
Molecule: non-coding RNA, 4013 nt
Organism: Heterocephalus glaber (naked mole-rat)
Lineage: Eukaryota; Metazoa; Chordata; Mammalia; Rodentia; Bathyergidae
Source: RefSeq, a predicted model, not a curated record